GGAAUUUUCCGCAAUGGGCGAAAGCCUGACGGAGCAAUACCGCGUGAGGGAAGACGGCCUAUGGGUUGUAAACCUCUUUUUUCAGGGAGGAAUCACUGACGUGUACCUGAAGAAUAAGCAUCGGCUAACUCCGUGCCAGCAGCCGCGGUAAUACGGGAGUGGCAAGCGUUAUCCGGAAUUAUUGGGCGUAAAGCGUCCGCAGGCGGUCUGUCAAGUCUGCUGUUAAAGCGUGGAGCUUAACUCCAUUUCGGCAGUGGAAACUGACAGACUAGAGUGUGGUAGAGGCAGAGGGAAUUCCCGGUGUAGCGGUGAAAUGCGUAGAUAUCGGGAAGAACACCAGUGGCGAAGGCGCUCUGCUGGGCCAUAACUGACGCUCAUGGACGAAAGCCAGGGGAGCGAAAGGGAUUAGAUACCCCUGUAGUC
RNAcentral lists this ribosomal RNA (423 nucleotides) under uncultured cyanobacterium. RNAcentral's name for it is "bacterial SSU rRNA". It matches the Rfam family "Bacterial small subunit ribosomal RNA", at positions 358 to 795 of the family's 1533-position model. The record is from RNAcentral. Lineage: Bacteria; Bacillati; Cyanobacteriota.